AUUUUUAUUUAAUAAAAAUUAAAAAAAAUUUUUUUUCAUCAGAAAUUUUUAGAUAAGGAGAUGGAAAUCUUUAGAUAUGCCAGAUCCGCUUAGAGAUGAAGUAUUUAUUUAUAACAAUAAACGACGCAAAAAAAAUUUGAAUCCACCAGGCAAACCUAUCCGAUCCGCGGGGUGGCGAGACUUACCGAACCGGUCUAACAACUCCCACGUACUUUUUCUGCUGCCAGUCUGCCGUCUUUUCAGACUGGUCUCUUUUUCUAACCCUUUCAUCCGAUACUUUUUUCUCUCGGGUUCUCUCUCAGGUUGACGUUCUUUAUUUCUUACCUCUACGCCACCGUAUUUUGUAUUCUCGGGAUACUCGCAACAAUGUCAUCGAUCUCGAAGACAUUGUUAAAAGCAUAAAAUAAAAUUACUAUAAGGUAGCUUAUUUUUUUUCCUAAACAGGCAUCGAAGUCGAGUAGUAUUAUGAUCAUU
This 474-nucleotide long non-coding RNA is filed under the name Androctonus crassicauda. The record is from RNAcentral. Lineage: Eukaryota; Metazoa; Arthropoda; Arachnida; Scorpiones; Buthidae.